GCGCUGGCGCGCGCGCGGCGCUGCGGUCAUGCAAAAAUGUGGAAUAUAAUUUUACGCGAAGUAUAAACUCCGCGAAUGUUGUUAAAUGCAAAUAUAUUGUGCUCAUUUGUUUCUUCCUACAAUGAAUUGCUACACCGACACCAUCUGACAGCUGCCGCUGGCAGCCGUACGUGUUUUGCACACGCGCCGCAUACUCAAAGCAUAGAAACGGCUGAACAGACCGUGGUUUCGCAUUACUAAAAGUCAAAAAAAGAUAAACCUAUUUUAAGCUCCAAAAUAAAUUAUUCUUUAUAGAAGUAUAGGUAGUUACCUAGCAAAAGUAAUAACAUUGCAAUAUUUAUUUUUAAGGUGCGAGUUCGGCGUGUAAUGACCAGCGCCAUCGCUAUCAUCGCGACGCCAUGGCAACACUGAGAGACUUUAGGCAACACUGCUGGUACAUUCCGCGGCGUUUGACGUUUGGAUCGGGUUAGGCCGCACGCAAACAGCACUACAGUACGUGUUUCAUUAGUGCUAACAUAUCCAGCAUCGCAACAAGGUUUUUGGAACUGAGUCCCUGCGUUCUUAAGCUUCGAGUGUUGGCGCAUGCUGAUUGUGGACACGUGUACGGCAAAAUGGCCAGUGGGAUUGACAGGUUUGCCGUCGUAGAGUUCCCCGAGGAGGACUGCAGCUUGGCACUUGUUCACGGUUCAUGGUUGAAUCCAAAAAGAAAUAGGACAUAUUGGCCUACUUUGAAAAAUUCAUCGCAGCGGCGUAGAGCCACUGUUGAGGGUGCUGCACCAUCUCCUAGCUAGACACAAGCCAACUGUGUGGCGAAAUCCUGGGCUGACACUUACGAAAAGGCAUGUGAGAAGCAGAAUUUCCUGCAAUAUCAUUCGGACAUGAGCUGCGAAGAGGAACUGGGAUGUGGAAAAAGAAAAAAAUGAAGUGCCUUGGCUUCUGAUUACAGCAGUGAGCAAGACACGACUGACGACUCGGGUGAUGACUCAAACUAUCGCCCUCCAAGGCCGCCAACACCACCUCAACUGGUAACAAACAUUGGUGGCUACGACUCAGCUGCUGCCCACGCGUCAUUCAAGAUGCCUGGACGACACCGAAAGAAACGCUCUGCAGGUAUUGUACAUCUUUUUCACUUCAACUUAAAAAUGUAAAAAAAAACUGACAUGGCAAAGUAUGCCAAGUAGAUUUUGAUUUAAGUUUCCAAUGUGUUGCCAAUCUGAAGCAUUAUUGUUGCAAGAAAGUAACCUUAAGUUCCCCUAUGUUAAUGCUAAAUACCAAAUCCUUUGUAUUCACUGUAAGCACGAUAUUGCUCUUGGCAAAGCAACUUGUGUAUGUUUCCUAACGCAACAUCACAAAGUAAAUUUGACUCAUUCGCCACAAGGAUGCACGCAACAGUUCAG
Molecule: unclassified non-coding RNA, 1397 nt
Filed under: Dermacentor andersoni
Lineage: Eukaryota; Metazoa; Arthropoda; Arachnida; Ixodida; Ixodidae
Description: uncharacterized LOC126524051
Source: RNAcentral